GUACCCAUGGUGUAGUAGUUAUCACAUCCGCCUAACGUGCGGAAGGUCCAAGGUUUCGAGACCUGGUGGGUACA
Uloborus diversus is the source of this 74-nucleotide non-coding RNA. The record is from the annotation of a RefSeq genome assembly. NCBI's taxonomy places the organism in Eukaryota, Metazoa, Arthropoda, Arachnida, Araneae, Uloboridae.